This 120-nucleotide ribosomal RNA is filed under the name Pteropus vampyrus (large flying fox). Lineage: Eukaryota; Metazoa; Chordata; Mammalia; Chiroptera; Pteropodidae. The record is from RNAcentral.
GUCUACGGCCAUGCCACCCUGAACAAGUCCGAUCCCGUCUGAUCUCAGAAGCUAAGCAGGAUCGGGCCUGGGUUAGUACCUAGAUGGGAGACCACCUAAGAAGACCAGGUGCUGUAGUGU